CCGCUCCCAGCAGCUGGUGGAGCCGCAGGACCCCCGCGCAGCCCGGGCCGCCGCCGUUAGGGUUGGCUCAAGCCUCUCGGCCCAGUCCGCCAGUUUUACAGCCCGAACUCAAAGAGGGCUUUUAACUUUUCAUUCAGCAGCAGCGUAGCUCCGACUUUUAAUAACACACCUCGUGCACGACAAAAAUUUGCUCCUGGCAAUCAUGGUUUCGACCACAAAACCACAGCGGGGAGGCGUUCCUGGUUAACUCUUUCAGCGCUCCAGGCAGUCUGGAGCCGGCGCUCCUGGAGAUCAGAUAGACCGGCGGCGGCGGCCGCGGUCAGGACUGCGACGCUUCUCGUCCCCAUCCCCCAACCGAGUCGCGCCUCUGCGUGGCUGCGGGGAGACUCCAGGCGGCGGCGGUGGGGCCCAGAGAGCACGGAGCGAGGCUGCGGGGGACGCUCCUGCCUCGGUGCCUUAGACCUACUGUGUGCCAAGCCCCUUUGUGGCGAAACUCUACUGGGCUGUCAACGGGGCCUGCCUGGAGGGCCGGGGGAUGGCAGGCGCUCCAGCGGGCAACAGGAGGUCACCAGCGAGGUCGCCAGCAGCUCCAAUUCCCCGGGGCCCCAACGCACCUUCAGGAAAACCCGACGGCAGGCAGCUCGCGGGCUCUAGCUGUUUUCCCGCGAUACCCGGGCGGUCGGCAGCGACUUCCGGCGCCCUCGGCCGCAGCCCAGGAUCCUUUGCGCCCUGCGGUAGCCUGGGGCUGCCCAGGGCUGCGGGCUCCAGGCACCCAGAGCGCUGCGACCACAUGAAAGGCCCGGCGCUCAGCACCCGCCAACCACCGCCAGCUGGUUUCUAACUACACCGCCGGGGCCUCCAUGCUUCUCAGGGACCAGCCUUCGAAGUGCCGCCUUAUACCCGGGGCCUGCCCACCGGGCGGGCGCGGAUGGAGCUCCUGGUCCACAUUGGGGAGCUCACAGUUGUUCCUGCCAGAUGAGGAAAAUGAAGCCCAGAAAAAUUGAGAUCACCCAGGGACAGAGCCUGGAUUUGAACUUAGGUCAAGCCCACUACAGAGAGUACACAUGCUUAACCACCACGCUGUAACCUUCCCACUUGGGACUGUUCCAGCCCAUUAAACAAGUCCCUUUAGAGAAACUCAACUCUGCCUAAGACAGCUCUUAGAACUACCUCAAAGAAGUUCCUUUUGGCAAGAAGAUAGAAAGCCUCGAUGGGACUGGGAUUGUCUGAUUUCCAAGGCCCCUUCAGAGGAUCAAAAAGUGGUGCCAGAAACCUUCACAGUUUCAGUCUUGUGUUUCCCUGCCUGGCUCGAAACUGCUCAGCAAAGAGAAUGAGAAAAACUAUUUUCCCAGGGAAACACUCACCUCUAGCUUGAGACUGGGGCUUGCCUUGACACGCCAAAGUAAGAUCGUCAGCCCAUUCAUUUACCCUUUACAAAUUGCUCUGUGAAUCCCGGUGCCGGCCUCCCCGCUUUUUCCCCUCCAGGAAACCCCAUCCAGCCUCCACGCCCCGAGAGCGGCAGGUAUCCACCGAUGUUUACUCACUCAAGUUCAUUCGACAUCUUUCUGCUCCCAGGCUCCGACGAUCAGCACUGAGGCUCUGCUGACCGCUUGUCUCUAAUUCUUGCCUGACACAGACAUUCUCUGCCCAGGGAAGUGUUUGAUUUAUGUUGAGGUUUGGGUGUCGAGAUUUUGCUGACAGGUAGGUUCCCAGCAGCGCUGGCGCCGAUUGGCUACAGGUACAGGUGCCCGCGACUGGAGGUAUACCUCAACAGGUGCAGCUGUUAACUCUUAGCCCGCCGAGGAGGGCGGAGCUAUGGGGGACUGGCUGGGUGGAGCUGGCCAAUUCCUUCCUUGGUGAGGGGGUGGGGGGUGGAGAUGAGGGAGGAGGGAUGGAGAAAAAAAUGUUGGAAAGAAGCAAGAUAACUAGAGGAAAAGUACAGGGACAAACAGAUAACUUGGCUUAAAGGAAAACUUGAUUCCUGUUUCUAGCCGUCCCAGAUACCCAGAAACAUCCCCACCCGCACAUUUCUUUGCCCCCUCCUUCUGUACCACUGGGGAAUUCUCAAAGGCGAGAGCAACUUUUCCCAGGUAGAUCUUUGUAUAAGUUCCCUUUUUUUCGGUUUCCCCUUUAAGAUAAUACUUAUGAAUAAUCUUUUACAGUUACUCAAGUGACUUCUUUUGGUUCUUAGAGUAACCCACUGUGAUAGAUUUAUUAUCGCUUCCCCCUUCCUCUUCAACACACAUUUUACAGAUGAGGGAGGAAAUGGAGGCCAGAGAGGCAAAGUGCCUUGCCCAAGGGCACAGCUAGCAAGGUCCCAGCCCAGAUCCAAUCUGCGGUCAUCUCACUCCAAGUCUGGCUGCCCCUUGGGCUGAAGUCAGUGGCCUCAAUUCAGCAGACAUCCAUUGAGCACCUGUUGUGUGCCAGACCCUACUCUGGGUUCUGGAGAAACUGAGGCCAGAAAAACAGGGUUACUGUUCUAGAGGAGUUUACAAGAGUUAAACAAGGGUUUAUCUGGGGAGGGGGGAUGUGUGUUGGUGGCAGGGGGUGGGGGAGUAAAGGAGACCAGGCUUUUAUUGGGUGUGAAGGGGGUGUGGGCAAGCCACAUACCUCUGCUUAGCACAGAAGGGAUAGAAAAGUUGAAGGUGCCUCCGAAGCCUCAGCCAGCUGGUCAUUUCACAGGCGCCAAGUGCUUCGUUCUGUAUGGGGAACUUGGGAGAAAUUCAAUGCCUGAUAGAUGAAGUAAUUGUGGAGUAAUUGCUGUGAGCUGUCUUCUAUGAAGAACAAGCUUGGUAAACCCCAGAAUAUCCACAAACACAAACAGGAGAAUGUUAGAGCAUUUUAAAGAGCUUCUUCCAGGAUUAGUUUGAAAUUAAAUCUAAGCCAAUGAUCUUGGCAUCUUUGUUUCCCUCUCUCUCUUUCAAUUCUCCCCUCCCCCACCCUUCCCCUUUUGGCAAAUUAUGUCUUUGCUGUAUCUUCCUGGGAACCUCAACUUGGCCCACUCCUCUCUCUCUCUCCUCUGGGAAUGGCAAAUGAGGUUUCAGCUACUCCUGCCAAUUUAUGGAGGUUUUUCAAGGUAAAGUCGGAAUUCAAAGGAGCCCUCUUGGGUUGGGGUCAGGGCUCUGGAGAGGGGGUACUGGGUUUGAGAACUCUCGGAGGUUGGUUUCUCCCUGGAGGCUGUGUUGGGGGAAGCCCAGGGGACCCUAAUAAAUAAUAGUAAAUAAUUGCUAAUAAAGCCACCUCCUCAGAACAGCUCUCUUCAGUCACCCUUGUAAGUAGACAUUCAGUCACUCUGGAUCACACUACUGUUUGUUCUCUGCAGAGCCCUUAUGACUUAUGAUAUAAUGUAAUAUGACCUAUGAUAUUUUUCUAAUUGUUUAUUGUCUUUCUUCCCUUCCUCUGGAAUGAAAACUCCCUAAGAGCAAAGACUUUGUUUCGCUCACUGUGAAAUCUCCAGUGUCUAGCACCUAGUAGGUGCUUCAUAUACCACAGGCACCGGGCAUUGUGCUAAGCCUUUGCAUGCAUUGUCUCACCUAAUCCUUACAGCAAUCCUGGGAGAGAGACACUUUUGGUAUCUCCAUUUUAUAGAUGAGGAAACUGCGGUACAGAAUACUGAAGUAAACUACUCAAGCUGCAGAGCUAGACGGUGGUAGAACUAGAGCUGGGAUUUAAUCUGAGAGCAGAGCCUGGGUACCCAACCACCUCACAGAGGUUACUGGUGGCCGAAGGGCUAUUUGGUGCCAACUGUAACUGCAAAACUUAUUGCAGUCCAAAGGAUGGCACACUCCUCUGUAUGUACCUGUCUGCCCACCUCUUGGAAGGCUGUGGAGUUUCUGUCAGCCGUGUUGCAACCCACAGGUGAAGGGCUGUGGGGUGACUCAUGCUGGCUGGGCUCAGGGGAGGCUGGGAUUCCAGGUGGCGUGUCUGUGCUCGCUAGGCUUUUAAAAAUGGGUCCUCUCCCUCUGCCUCUAGGUCUUGCCUCUUUCAUCAACUGUACCCAUCUUCAGAGAUCAGCAGAGACCCAAAUCACAGGGGUGAAACCCACAGACAUAGAGGGUUUCUAUGUCUCCACACACAGGAAGGCCACAGAAAUAUCCUGGAUGGGAUAGAAGGACCAGUGGUCUGGGCUAGGUAGGCAGGGAUGUCAUGAGCCACUUUGUAAGGUCACCAGACCCCUCAAUAGGAGUUACACCUCCCGGGCAGGAGGUACAAGUGCUGUUCCAGGCUUUCAUCCCAACAACCCAGAGAUGCCAAGCCUUUAAAGAGAUGCCCCCCAUGCUUUGCUGCUGCCCCCUUCCUGCUCCCGUGGGGCUAAGCAAGGCUGGCACCUACUUCCCCUUCAUGGAUCAGCACAGCUCUUGGUUCCUCUGCAGGGGAGAUUUAAAACAGAACAGCUAUUCCAAAAA
This is a long non-coding RNA of Piliocolobus tephrosceles (Ugandan red Colobus), 4406 nucleotides long. RefSeq lists it as uncharacterized. The record is from RefSeq and is a predicted model, not a curated record. NCBI's taxonomy places the organism in Eukaryota, Metazoa, Chordata, Mammalia, Primates, Cercopithecidae. The transcript is spliced from 2 exons.